CUACGGGUGGCAGCAGUGGGGAAUAUUGGACAAUGGGCGAAAGCCUGAUCCAGCCAUGCCGCGUGUGUGAAGAAGGCCUUCGGGUUGUAAAGCACUUUCAGUGGGGAAGAAAGCCUUGGGGCUAAUACCCUCGAGGAAGGACAUCACCCACAGAAGAAGCACCGGCUAACUCCGUGCCAGCAGCCGCGGUAAUACGGAGGGUGCGAGCGUUAAUCGGAAUUACUGGGCGUAAAGCGCGCGUAGGCGGUCUGAUAAGCCGGUUGUGAAAGCCCCGGGCUCAACCUGGGAACGGCAUCCGGAACUGUCAGGCUAGAGUGCAGGAGAGGAAGGUAGAAUUCCCGGUGGAGCGGUGAAAUGCGUAGAGAUCGGGAGGAAUACCAGUGGCGAAGGCGGCCUUCUGGACUGACACUGACGCUGAGGUGCGAAAGCGUGGGUAGCAAACAGGAUUAGAUACCCCUGUAGUC
Molecule: ribosomal RNA, 464 nt
Filed under: Vreelandella stevensii
Lineage: Bacteria; Pseudomonadati; Pseudomonadota; Gammaproteobacteria; Oceanospirillales; Halomonadaceae
Description: partial 16S ribosomal RNA
Rfam family: Bacterial small subunit ribosomal RNA
Source: RNAcentral